GUAGAGGAAGGGGUGUCUCCUGGACACCUCGUAGAUGUAUCUGUGAAGUGAAGAAGCCACAGAGUUUACAAGAUUGCAGAUUCGUCAUUAAAAUAAGAAAAGGAUAAACAAUGACAAGAAAGAAGAAGCGGUAUCAAAAGUUGUUGGUGAUCAAUAGUCCAACUCAUGGUGCUAUCCACAGUUGUUCAUGUAACACCGUAGAUGCUCAAUACCUUACCCUUGUUUAUCCAUCUAAAUUAUAACUCUCUUUCAAUUUUUUUAUUUACAGGCAGUUUGGUGAACAAGAUCCAUCAAUAUUUGGCUCUGAAUAGAGUUGAUUUGUGGAAAAUUAAUAUGUUCUUGGACAAGGUACAAAUUGAGAGGUUAAAGCUGUGUCUCCUGAGACUACUGGCAGAGAUUCAGGGUCAGUUGCGAGUCCUGGCUACAUCUAGCACGUGUGCGUAGGCAUUGCAUUCAGACUUGCUCUCCUGAAUGCCUUGAGCAGGCCUUUAUAGCUAUUACCCCAAGUUCCUACCUCACAUCUCAUAGUGCACUGUGAACUGCUUGUGUUGUUCCCAUCCCACGGUUGUCCUUACUUGUUUAGGACCGUCUCCCUGUUUUCUUCAUAUGCUUUGCAACUCGUGACCAUGUCUGGAACUUGCAAGGGUGGAAUGGAUGCUGGAGCAGCCCUUUUGCGUGUAAGUAGACACUUGUGCCUUUCCUCUCCGCUGCGGCUGCAGCAGUCUGCAAGUCCAUACUUCUCAUGGGUUGCCCUCUCAUGACAGAUUUCUUCCAGAAAGGUGGAUAGCUGUAAGAAAGCUCGUACUUUUAGUGAAGGACCAUCAACUGAUCUUUAAAUUUCUGUAAAACAUGUAAAGAGUUUUCUACUACCCAAAAUCAGAGAGAAAAAAAAAGAUUUCCAUGUAAUUCCAGUACAUUCAGUGUUAAUCUGGUAACACAGCUUUCUUGCUUCCCUUUUGGAAACUAGAAUUUUAACUUCUAAACUUGAGUAGUAAGCAUGAGUAUUAGACAAAUGUGUUUUAUUUUAAAUAGAAAAGGUCAUGAAAUACUUUGUUUCUCUCCCUCAAUUUUAUUUUAUUUUUUCCUUUUAUGUUUCCAGCACUUUAGCCCCAGGAUAUAUAAGUUUUCUCUUUUUAUAUAAACCAUGUUUGAGAAAUAGAUAUUCAUCCCAGGUGGCUUUCUUAUGACAAAACAUUGACCCAGACUUGAACAUUAUUUUUGAUUAAAAAUAAAAACAAUUUCAAGAUGGGAUAAAAUGGAAAAACGUUUCAUUGAUCACAGUUACACAUUUAGUUAAAAUGAUUUAAAAUGUACGUUUCCUUCUUUGAUGCCUAAUUUUAUCAGUAUCAGAGAAGGAUACCACUAUUUGAAAGAAAGCCCCUGAUACAUGUGUUCCAUUGAUGUCAGAAAACUAAAACCUUAAUUAAGAAUUCUAACUCGCAAUCAUUUAAAAAAAAACCUGUAACUUUACAAUGAAAAAUCACCAAUUUGUAGCCUUACUUUGCCCCUCUAAUUGGACAUAAAGCUGCAAUUGCGAAAAUAUUCUGCAUAGUUUAUGUAUACAGUUUUAAAAGAUUAUCAGAAAAAGUCAUAAACAUAGAUUGUUAAUUUAGAAAUUUCAGAGUUGGAAAGCACUUUAUAUCUUAAAAGGUGUGUCUUAUAGAAUGUCCCAGACACAUUUCAACCAUGUGGAUUCUCUAAACAUUCUGUUCCAUAAGUGGGUAUCUUCAGUCAAUAUAAGGUUCAUUUCUAUAUUGAGAUAAAAUAAACAGCAACUACUAUUUAUUGAGCAUCUAUACUGGGACAGCUUCAUACAAACAAAAAGUAUUCAUUGUUUAUCUGAAAUUCAGAUUUGUUAGGUAUAGUGAUCCAUGCCUGUAAUUAAAGCUACUUGGGUGGCAGAGGCAGGAGGAUGAUACAUUUGAAGCUCUGUCUCAAAAAUAGAAGAUUUUAAAAAGGGCUGUGGCCUGGGUGACAGAAUGUUUGCCUAGCAUGUAUGAAGACCUUUCAAUUCACAGCACUGCUAAAAGAAAAGAAAAGAAAUUUUAGAUUUAGCGGAGCAUUAGUUUUGAUGUUAAUUCCACUUUGCUUAAUCUGGCAAGCUUAAUUGUCACUGUGUGCCUCGUUUGCUGUAGUAGAGUGAAGCUACUGGGGACAUUAGCCCUGGGACCAGGUGGCCUGGUUUACACCCCAGUUGUGUCAUUUUGUUAUUCUCUUAAAGAAGGUUACCACUCUGUCAGUUUCCUCAACUGGAAUAUUAGCAUCAAACUCCUAAGAUUAUUAUAAAGAUUUAAUAAGUUAAUAUUUGUAAACAAAGCUGAAUUUUGCUAGUGAAAACUAGCCAAAGUCUCUUGACACACUGGACAACCAUUCCGAAUCCAUAGUGCUAUCUCCCUACCAUAAAAUAACUUGAUUAUCAAUGCAUUUGUCACAGUCCCUAGCAGAAUGCCAACCAUACUGUGCUCCUAUAAUUAUACCAGUGUCCACUGCGAGUCUGAAUUGGAUUUAAGAUUAGCCAUGAUGUCACAGAAAAAGAACACUGAAACUUAAAGUAGUAACACGCCCAUCACAGUCAGAUAAUCUCAUUCCAAAAACUUGGGUCUUAGUCACUGUCUGAUGAUAAUAGCCACUCAUUGUUUUCAUCUGCAUUGUCUAGUAAUUCCAAAUUAUUUAGAUGCUGCUAUCCUACAACAGCUUUUUAAAUACUCAAAUACCUGCCUUUUCUGGGUCUUGUCUUCCAUGCACUAAAUUUUGGUCAAGUAUCAUUUUACCUUUUAUUCGCUCACCUGAUUUUCUAAACAUUCUGCAAGUUGUUCACUGCCAGUGGGUUUCUUGAUUACAGUCAAUACAUCUGUCACCAUUUUUCUCACUUCCUCAUAAGUGGCGUCUUGGACAAAUUGGGAGAACAAUAUGGUAGCUCUAAAAUAAAAACAUGAAUUCUUAAGGGACAGAUUCAUAUCAAGCUUAUCUUUCUGAAGUAUAGUUCUGCCUGUUUCAUUUUCUGUUUAUGUUCUGACCUGUGCUAAAAGUUAGAUUCUAGCCAUCCAGAAAAAAAUGUUAGUCCUUUUUGUGGUCAUCUUCCCCUAUAAAUAUACAUGUAGCUAUUAAAAGUAAAAAUAAGUUAAUUUUCCAAAAGAAUUAUUUCUCUUUUUCAAUUACCCAUUCUUACAAUGUGCUUAUAAUUAUACUUAUCACAGUUUUAUUUUUUAAAUUUAAUCAAAGUCUUGGUCAUUAAACCUCUGCCUCUGUCUAAUUCCCAGUAGUAUGCAGUUCUGCUCUGGGACUAUGGUAUUCAUGCAUGACUUAAAGCAGUGUUUGCACGGGUUUCUCUAUGCAAUCAGGAGCAGUAAUACAUGCCUUUAGGUUUCCUGUUAGAAACCUCAGAAAUGUGGAAUGGAACAACAGCACUCAAGAGCACAAUUUGCUUUCCAAUAAAAAACAAAACAAUAUUUUACCUUCUGUAGUUUGCUAUUAAGAUUUAAAUAGUAUGUAGAAUAAAAAGGACUGUAUUAUAAUUCUAUUGGUAUUGAUGAUAAAACUCCUAAAUUUAUAAAUAGUUGUCGCUGAUAAAAUCUUAGUUUACUACGUGGAAUGCCAAGUAAUCUAGAGGUUAAUAUCAAGGAGCCAAAGAAACUUCAGCUUCUUCAUUAACAAUUUGAUAUUAGAUAUUUUUAAAUUGUCUUAUUUGCCUUUGUCAUUUAGAAACUCAGAACUAGCCAAUCUCAUUUAAUUACUUAACUAAAAUUAUCUUGCUUUGCAUACAAAAAGUGCAUUGAUCCCUGAAAAACUUACACAUUAGCCAGAUUCAUCUCCGAAGAGCACUGGGAGGAAUCCAACAUGGAGGCUGGAAACAAAACAAACUUAUGAAAGCCCUGUUCGCAACUGCAAGGAUGUUUCUACUCAAGUUAGAACUGUAGACUGCAGAACUGGGAAGACAGUAGGGAUAACCCACCCGAACAUCUUAAUUGUAUACUUGAGAAAAUUAAAUAAUAAAAUUAUAAGCAUUAUUUACAGUAGAACUAAUGCUGAAUUCUAUACUUUAUGGUUUUCAGUUGUUUUGUUUCCUGCUGUAUUUUAAUGUUCUGAUAGGCUUGGAAAUAAAGUGGUUAAAAAUG
Molecule: long non-coding RNA, 4115 nt
Organism: Cavia porcellus (domestic guinea pig)
Lineage: Eukaryota; Metazoa; Chordata; Mammalia; Rodentia; Caviidae
Exons: 2
Source: RefSeq, a predicted model, not a curated record